UACGGAGGGGGCUAGCGUUGUUCGGAAUUACUGGGCGUAAAGCGCACGUAGGCGGCUUUGUAAGUUAGAGGUGAAAGCCCGGGGCUCAACUCCGGAAUUGCCUUUAAGACUGCAUCGCUAGAAUUGUGGAGAGGUAAGUGGAAUUCCGAGUGUAGAGGUGAAAUUCGUAGAUAUUGGGAAGAACACCGGUGGCGAAGGCGGCUCUCUGGACCGUAACUGACGCUGAGGCGCGAAAGCGUGGGGAGCAAACAGG
Molecule: ribosomal RNA, 253 nt
Filed under: uncultured bacterium
Lineage: Bacteria
Description: partial 16S ribosomal RNA
Rfam family: Bacterial small subunit ribosomal RNA
Source: RNAcentral